Molecule: ribosomal RNA, 273 nt
Filed under: uncultured bacterium
Lineage: Bacteria
Description: partial 16S ribosomal RNA
Rfam family: Archaeal small subunit ribosomal RNA
Source: RNAcentral
UACCAGCACCCCGAGUGGUCGGGACGAUUAUUGGGCCUAAAGCAUCCGUAGCCGGUUCUACAAGUCUUCCGUUAAAUUCAUCUGCUUAACAGAUGGGCUGCGGAGGAUACUAUGGAGCUAGGAGGCGGGAGAGGCAAGCGGUACUUAGUGGGUAGGGGUAAAAUCCGUUGAUCCACUGAAGACCACCAGUGGCGAAGGCGGCUUGCCAGAACGCGCUCGACGGUGAGGGAUGAAAGCUGGGGGAGCAAACCGGAUUAGAAACCCCCGUAGUCC